This is a long non-coding RNA of Mya arenaria, 1128 nucleotides long. RefSeq lists it as uncharacterized. Lineage: Eukaryota; Metazoa; Mollusca; Bivalvia; Myida; Myidae. The record is from RefSeq and is a predicted model, not a curated record. The transcript has 6 exons.
AUAGUCUUUAAAAUGUAAUGUUCAUAGAAAUAGUGUUUUUUAACCACUUUCUUUCGUAUUGUUUAUUACUUUUGGUGUUAUCUCCCGUAGUUGUCAUGAGCUAUUUUUUAACCCAAAUUUGAGGAUGUAGGUCAAGCUGAACCAAAGGCAUUUUCCAUCAAAUUAGGAAUUUGUUGGUCAAGCACCUGCUGUACAUAGAACAACAAUCCAUUACAGCUUUGACUAUGCCAAGCAGGUCUUCUACCCAUACUAGGCACAGCAAGAGUGCCCUGCUUUGAAGUGUUCUGUAAAUCAUAUGGUUCACAGAUAUCUCAGUGAUGGAGGGUUUAGCUGUUAUGUGGCCAAUGGUGUGGUACCUCAUUUUCAACAACAUCCAUAUAGAGAAGACUCUGCAUACCUGCACAUUGACAACUAUGUUGGGUGGAAUAAAAACAAUGCAGUCAUUGGGGUCUGAUGUAUUCUGAAGGGAGAGAAACAGCAUUUACUUAAAUGAAUGCAGGUGACAUAAAGUUCAGUGCUGUGUGAGAUUUGGUCUGUGGAAGACCAAAUGGAGGCAGCACACAUCCUUUGUGGAUUGAUGACCUUGGCAAACUGGUUAUAUUCUUUGACUGGUUGGAGUACACCAAGUGACCCCUGAAGUCCAUUCCAAACUUAAGGAAAUAUCAUCACUUCAGAACUUCAGCUGACCACCCAGUGAGUGAAUUCAUGAGAGAGCAUGCCAAGGACAGUGAGAUUGAAGUUAAAAUUGACAAGCCCACAACAAUGGCUUUUCCAUUGAGAGUACCCUGAACACAUCCAACUAAAAGGACUUAAUGCAAAAAGGCUCUGAUCCCUUAAAUAAGUGAAAAAGCUAAUAUACUGAUAUGUGAUCUUUAUAAACUAAAUAUAAGAUUUGAGAAUGAGCCUGUUACUGAGCUGAUGAAAGCGUGUAUCAAUUCUUUAUUGACAAUUAUUUAUUCAAUAGAAACAUGUUCAUGUGAUAUGAAGCUACCAGUGAUUUUGAGUGAAAAAACUGUGGUUUUAGCAAAUGAUUGAUAGAAGGGUGCUACACCCUGUCUUUUGACGGUAGAGCCCCUCUGCCAUAAUGGAGACCAGUAUAUGAUUAUUAUUAAUACAAACUUAAAACAA